AACGUAGGAGGCGAGCGUUAUCCGGAUUCACUGGGCGUAAAGCGCCAGUAGGUGGUUCUGCAAGUCGAGUGUUAAAGCCCCUGGCUCAACUGGGGGAGGUCAUUCGAAACUGCGGGACUGGAGGACAGCAGAGGAGAGUGGAACUCCCGGUGUAGCGGUGGAAUGCGUAGAGAUCGGGAAGAACACCAGUGGCGAAGGCGACUCUCUGGGCUGUGCCUGACACUGAGAGGCGAAAGCGUGGGGAGCAAACGGG
This 253-nucleotide ribosomal RNA is filed under the name uncultured bacterium. Its description in RNAcentral is "partial 16S ribosomal RNA". It matches the Rfam family "Bacterial small subunit ribosomal RNA", at positions 524 to 776 of the family's 1533-position model. The record is from RNAcentral.